CACCGCGCACGUUGCGUUUUGCUGGUGUUGGUGCUUUUUGCCAGAAAUGAAAGUUGCUCAAAGUUGUUCCGACCGCAUACGAGCAAACGGCACGACCGCGCGAGCCAGCCGUGAGCUCGAAGCACUCGAAGCAUUCGAGGCUUCCCCCGUCGCUGGCCUGUCCGUGACUGCGUUCGCUCGUUCGUCUCGCGUGCUGCUACUUCUAGUGCUCAGCCGCAAUCCGCUAAAUUCGGCCACCAUGGCGACGUCGACCGUCGACGGCGGCUCGCGCAUUUACACCGCUCACAUUUAACAACUAUUCCGACAAUUCCAACGUGCGCGGAUACGGAUAUUCAUCACCGGCCACAACGAGCACAUAAUAUAUUCGUUAUACAAGUAGUGCCAUCGGAAGUGACUUAAGUCAAGUCAAGAAUAACGCAGUGCAGUGCAAAUCUUAAGCAAAGCAAAGCAAUUCAAUGUGUGAACAACUUUAUUAAAUAAUAACUGAGGAGACUUUAUCGGUGACACCUGUUUGAUCAAUAUAUCAAUGUUUGCAUUUAUUACUGUGAAACGUGUGUAAAGUGUUGAGUGCAUCGUGUGUACCUGUUGUGCUGUGUUCUCUGUUUGCGUCCCCGGUACCCCGGAAUAUCCUCCUACCUGCCUGCACAACACAAAGGAAGCCACACCAGAUCCGCUGCAAACGAGGAACAACAAAUGAGUCGCGCUUAAAACAAACGACAAUUGACGGGGGACAACAUCUCUUGGAAGUAAAAUGACCAGCGGUUUGCUGCGUUUUCGUCGGCAUUGGGUGCACACCUUCUCGCUUGUGCUACUUUUCUAUUAUGUAAAGCAAUGUUUGGGCGCAGAAUUAGUUAUCCACAUUCCAGGCAACUUGAAUCAAGAUGGCGUCGUGUAUCGCCUUGAUUAUUAUCCGCCAUUCGGCUAUCCAGAGCCGAAUACAACAAUCGCGUCGAAGGAUAUCCACGACGUGAUUAAAUUCUCGCAGGGUCUGCCCGGUACCAAGUAUGACUUCUGGCUGUAUUCCUCGAAUCUGACACAUAAUACGCUCACAUGGACGGCAAAUUUUACAACAGUACCUGAUCCACCUUCGAAUCUCUCCGUCGCUGUACGUAAUGGUAAGACAGCCGCAAUCUCAUGGAGUCCACCAUCUCAAGGAAGCUACUCUACGUUCAAGUUGAGAAUAAAUGCUCUCUCCACCGCCCUGGAGCCUAAACCACAAACGAUUAUCGUGGACAAUGUUGAAACGUCGCCGCAUAUUCUGCGGGAUUUAACACCUGGUGCCACGUAUCAAGUUCAAGCGUACACUGUUUUCGAAAACAAGGAAAGCGCUGCUUAUACAUCGAGGAACUUUACAACCAAACCAAAUACUCCUGGUAAAUUUAUCGUAUGGUUUAGAAAUGAAACCACAUUAUUAGUAUUGUGGCAACCACCAUACCCACCAGCAAUUUAUACUCAUUACAAGGUGUCCAUUGACCCACCAGAUGCAAUUGAGAGUGUUUUAUAUGUGGAGAAAGAGGGAGAACCGCCUGGGCCUGCUCAGGCUGCAUUUAAAGGACUUGUUCCUGGCAGGGCUUAUAAUAUUUCCGUCCAGACUAUGUCGGAAGAUGAAACGUCAACUCCAACAACCGCUCAGUAUCGAACAGUGCCAGUGAGACCUUUAAAUAUCACAUUUGAUAAGACUUCAGUGACAUCCAAUUCGUUUAUUGUAAAUUGGGAACCACCAAGUGGUAGAAGCGAGUUUGACAAGUAUCAAAUAUCCUUGGGUUCCGUUCGUAAACAGCCUGCUGUUAGUAGGCUCAGAGAGGAACCCACAUGGUGGAAAUUUAAAGAUAAUCUCGAACCUGGCAAGACUUACCAGGUUGUGGUGAAGACCGUUUCAGGGAAGGUUACAUCAUGGCCUACGUCUGCAGAUGUUACUCUCAAACCUUUACCUGUGGUUAAUCUCAAGGCAGAAACUGAAGAAUCUCUAAAUGUUGUCAAUGUGCAUUGGAUAUCCAACCCGAAUAGCUUCCAGGAAUCUUACGGGGUUUCUUAUCAUGAAGUUGAGAGCUCCGCUGGUGAUUCCAAUACAGUGACGACCAAUGAAACGAAAAUUACGUUAGAUGCGCUACUUCCGGGAAGAAACUAUUCGAUUGCGGUGUCGGCAAUAUCGAAGAAAGUUGAAUCCAAUGAAAGUUUUCUAUUUGUUUUAACCAGACCCAGUGCACCAAUCAUAGAAGACCUUAAACCACUGGUGGAUGGUCUUAACAUCAGUUGGAAGUCAGAUGUUAAUUCCAGACAAGAUAAAUAUGAAGUUGAGUGUGUCAGAAAUGAUACUCUAGAUAAUCUUAUCAAGACAACUUAUGAGUCACGAAUUGUAUUAAAGGACUUGUAUCCUGGUGCUGGGUACAUGGUUAAGGUAUUUGCCAUUUCUCAUGGAUUGAAGAGUGAACCUCAUGAAUACUUCCAACCUGUUUUUCCAAGACCACCUCGAAAUAUGACUAUUGAGAAGACCACAACGAAUUCGGUGAUUGUACAGUGGCAAGCUCCUGUGGAUUCAUUGAUUACAGAAUAUGCCAUUCGUUAUCGGACAGAUUCCGAGGGCACUUGGGUAAAAUUACCGGGUGUAAACAAUACCGAAGCGGAAGUGACUGAUAUGACACCCGGCGAAAGGUAUACCAUUCAGGUUAACACAGUCAGUUAUGGUCUGGAGAGUAAUGAACCUCAGCAGUUAAACCACACAGUCAGACCCAAUCCAGUAUCCAAUAUUGCUCCGCUGGUCGAUUCCAAUAAUGUGACUUUGGAAUGGCCACGACCUGAAGGUCGAGUAGAAACUUACAUAGUUCGCUGGUGGGAGAGCGCUCAACCCUCGCUAAUUAACAAACGCAACGUCUCGCAAAAUAAUAACUCCUCGGGACCCAUUCGGUUGCUCGUUGGGGACCUCAUGCCCGGCGUGGAGUAUGAGUUUGACAUACAGGCUAUCAGCAAUGACCUGGAAAGUGAUGUAACCCAAUUGAAAACACGAACAAUGCCUCUGAUACAAUCGGAACUUGUAGUGGUCAAUAAUCAACAAACUUCAGACUCUAUCAGUUUGAGAUACACCCCUACACCAGCAGACUCCUCGAAGUUUGAUCUUUAUAGAUUUUCCCUCUCAGAACCAUCGAUAGCGGAACAAGAAAAGGCUGCGAAUGAUUCGGAUAGGCUUGUGACAUUCACCGGGUUAAUACCCGGUCGUUUAUACAAUAUUACCGUGUGGACAGUGUCGCAGAACGUUCCGAGUCAACCACUCCAACGGCAGGACCGUUUGUAUCCGGAACAGAUUGCCGGCAUCAACGCGACGUAUAUUUCCGACACCGAGAUCACACUCUCGUGGGAGUCGCCACGCGGUGAAUUCAACGCCUUUGAGGUCCAGUAUUUGACAGCGGAUAACGUUUACAUUCAGAACCUGACCUUGUUUAAUUCCAUUACAAUCAUCGAUUUGAAACCUCAUCGAAACUACACUUUUACUGUGGUUGUAAGGAGCGGUACAGAAUCAAGUAUACUGAGACGUUCACUACCUGUGUCUGCUAUCUUCACUACAAAAGAAUCUGUUCCCGGAAAGGUUGAAAAGUUCUUCGCUACGGAUAUUCAACCAAGUGACAUAACAUUCAAAUGGAUUCUACCGUCAACUGAACAAAAUGGCGUCAUCCGGAAAUUCACCAUUACGUAUGGUCUUGAUAGAUCUACGAAUACAUUAUUCAAAGAUUUUGGCCCUGAUGAGUUCACUGGCGUAAUCCGACAAUUAAUUCCCGGUCGCACUUAUGUCUUCCGUAUACAGGCAGAGACCAAAGUUGGUUUUGGUCCAGAAACGACAGUUACACAGAAAAUGCCCAUUUUGGCACCUCCGCCACCCCGAGGAAUAGUUGUUCCCACCGAAGUGUGCAAAAGUUCGUCGACGAUACAAAUCCGCUUCCGGAAGAAUUAUUUCAGUGAGCAAAACGGACCUGUCGUGUCCUAUACGAUUAUAGUAGCUGAAGACGAUUCGAAGAACGCUUCAGGCUUGGAAAUGCCUUCAUGGCGCGAUGUUCAAGCAUACUCUGUAUGGCCGCCAUAUCAAAUUAUGGAACCUUAUUAUCCAUUCCAUAACAGUUCCGUCGAAGACUUUACAAUAGGUUCAGAAACCUGUGAUAUGCGGCAAACUGGAUAUUGUAAUGGUCCGCUCAAAUCUGGCUCGACCUAUAAGGUCAAGAUAAGAGCAUUCACUGCGCCCGAUAAGUUCACAGACACACAUUACAGUUUCCCAAUUCAAACAGACCAAAACAAUACGCCGAUUAUAUUGGGCAUCGUUAUACCGAUACUAGUAAUUGCGACGAUCCUCGUCAUACUGUUCAUUCGCAAGCGGCGGUCGCAAGGUCGGAAGGCGACCGAAAGUCGCAAUAACGACAACAUGUCAGUGCCUGAUUCGGUGAUCGAAACGAAUCGACCUAUUCGGAUUAACGCCUUUGCAAACCAUUAUAGAUUAAUGUCGGCCGAUUCAGAUUUCAGAUUUAGCGAAGAAUUUGAAGAAUUGAAACAUGUCGGCCGCGAACAAGCAUGCAGUUUUGCUGAUUUACCUUGCAAUCGGCCCAAAAACAGAUUUACAAAUAUUUUACCUUAUGACCAUUCAAGAUACAAACUACAGCCCGUUGAUGAUGAAGAAGGAUCAGAUUAUAUUAAUGCAAAUUAUGUACCUGGUCACAAUUCACCACGGGAAUUUAUAGUAACACAAGGACCUCUUCAUUCGACAAGGGACGAUUUUUGGCGAAUGUGUUGGGAGAGUAACUCGCGCGCCAUCAUAAUGUUGACGCGUUGUGUAGAAAAGGGAAGAGAAAAGUGCGACCAUUACUGGCCGUACGACACCAUGCCCGUUUACUACGGGGACAUUUCCGUCCAGAUUCUCAACGAGAGUCGAUAUCCUGAUUGGAAUAUUUCCGAAUUUAUGGUUUGUCGUGGUGAUACUCAACGUGUGAUAAGACAUUUCCACUUUACGACAUGGCCAGAUUUCGGCGUGCCAAAUCCCCCGCAUACUCUGGUACGAUUCGUACGCGCGUUUAGAGAAAGGGUUGGGUCUGAUCAACGGCCCAUUGUUGUACACUGCAGUGCGGGUGUCGGUCGUUCGGGGACAUUUAUAUGCCUAGACCGUAUUCUACAGCAAAUUCUGGUGUUUGACCAUGUGGACAUCUUUGCCAUAGUGUAUGCGAUGCGUAAAGAACGAGUAUGGAUGGUUCAAACUGAGCAGCAGUAUAUUUGUAUCCACCAGUGUUUGCUUGCGGUGCUAGAGGGCAAGGAGCUGAGCGGACCACCGCGUGAAAUUCACGAAAAUCAGGGAUUUGAAGGCAAAGGUGUAGGGAAUGGUGCGGUGAAUGAACCGAUGGGUCCUGGCGAGAAGGAGCGGUAACGCGUACAUACUACAUAUUCUUUCUUGUAUCAACUCCUUCCUCUAUUUGUACUCUAUUCGUAAACUGGGGCAGCACACACAUGUUUUGUGAUGAUGAGGGCAUUGCCGAAUCAGGCAUGUAGACAAAAUGUGAUCCAGAACAAAAGGAAUUGGAAUCUACAACUUCUUCUUUGAACAAGUUUAGAAUAUAGCAAUCUAUUUAUAUACAUACUUUAUUUAACACACCCUAGGAUGUUAGUUUAACUUGAAUGAUAUUUUUUUAUGUAUUGACAGUAAUACUCGUUUACUCGAUUGUUUUUAUUCUUUAACAACUCAUAAUGUGUUGUGUCGAAUAUGAUUUUGACGAUUUUUGUACAUACACAACAUAACUAAUGUAAUUUAGAGUUAACUCAAUAUGUAUAGGUAGUCAUUAAUUGUUUAUUUACUUUAUAAAUAUCUCUAUUUUUUGAUUUAUUCAGCAAUGAAAAGAUGAGUGUAAUGGUGGAAACAACAAAAUAAAGUAAUAUUUUUGUUAAAA
Molecule: RNA transcript, 5912 nt
Organism: Dalotia coriaria
Lineage: Eukaryota; Metazoa; Arthropoda; Insecta; Coleoptera; Staphylinidae
Gene: Ptp10D
Gene name: Protein tyrosine phosphatase 10D
Exons: 18
Source: RefSeq, a predicted model, not a curated record